CACUCUAGCAUAAAAAGUAUUAGAGGCCCUGCCUGCCCAGUGAUAUACACUUAAACGGCCGCGGUAUCCUGACCGUGCAAAGGUAGCAUAAUCACUUGUUCCCUAAAUAGGGACUCGUAUGAACGGCUUAACGAGGGUUAAACUGUCUCUUACUUUUGAUCAGUGAAAUUGACCUCCCCGUGAAGAGGCGGGGCUACACAAAUAAGACGAGAAGACCCUAUGGAGCUUAAAUCUUAUAGCCUAAGCAUACCAACAACAACCUCCGGGUCCAAAUAAAAUGCUUGCAGGCUAGAAAUUUUGGUUGGGGUGACCUCGGAGCACAAAACAACCUCCGAAUGAUAUUAAUCCAGACAGACGCGUCUAAAUAUCUACUCAUAAAUUGACCCAAACUUAUUUGAGCAACGGAACAAGUUACCCUAGGGAUAACAGCGCAAUCCUACUCAAGAGUUCAUAUCGACAGUUAGGGUUUACGACCUCGAUGUUGGAUCAGGACACCCAAAUGGUGCAGCCGCUAUUAACGGUUCGUUUGUUCAACGAUUAAAGUC
Molecule: ribosomal RNA, 545 nt
Filed under: Protoxerus stangeri (forest giant squirrel)
Lineage: Eukaryota; Metazoa; Chordata; Mammalia; Rodentia; Sciuridae
Description: partial 16S ribosomal RNA
Rfam family: Bacterial large subunit ribosomal RNA
Source: RNAcentral